UUUAUACGUCGAAUUUCGGUCGCGUCGAAUGCAAUUCAAACAAUAGAUAAUUAUGAAGUUUAAUGAGGUUUGUCAUCUCAUUAUCUAUUGUCUUAAUUACAUUCGACGCGACCAAAAUUCGACGUAUAAA
Non-coding RNA from Paramuricea clavata, 130 nucleotides. NCBI's taxonomy places the organism in Eukaryota, Metazoa, Cnidaria, Anthozoa, Malacalcyonacea, Plexauridae. The record is from the annotation of a GenBank genome assembly.